AAAAAGUUUUAUUUUAGCUUAAAAACUUAGUGUAUAUUUUUUUUAUAUGUAAAUUUUAGUAGAAAAGUUAUCUUAGAAAGAUAAAUAUUAUUAUGCAGUAAAUUAUUUUAUAAAUUAAAAAAAUUUAGAAUUAGGAAUAUAUAAAAAUAUUAACAAAAUUUGUGCCAGCAGUUGCGGUUAUUCAUAUAAUAUAAUUAAUUUAAUUUGGUUAAUAAUAAAUUGGUUUAGGAAAAUUUAUAUUUAAUUUUAUUAAGUGAAAUUUUAAAAUUAUUUUAAUUUUUAUUUAAAAUAAUGAAUUUAUAAAAUUUUAAAUUUAAACUAGGAUUAGAUACCCUAUUAUUUUAAAAUAUUAAAUUUUAUACUAACUUAGUAUUUGUUAAGUUCAUGAAAAUUAAAAAAUUUGGCGGUAUUUUAGUCUUUUUAGAGGAACCUGUUCUAUAAUUGAUAAUCCACGAUUUAUUUUACUUAUUUUUAGUUUAUAUAUCAUCGUAGUUUGAAUAUUUUAAAAGAAUAAAAAUAUUCAUAAUUUUUUAUUAAAAAUUAAAUCAGAUCAAGGUGUAACUUAUAAAUAAGGAGAAAUGGGUUACAAUAAAGAUAUUUAAAUAGUUUAUAUAUUUGAAAAAUAUUAAUAAAGUGGAUUUAAAAGUAAUAAAAUUAAAUUUAAUUUUAUGAUUUUAGCUCUAAAAUAUGUACAUAUCGCCCGUCGCUUUCAUUUAAAAUGAAAUAAGUCGUAACAAAGUAGGUGUACUGGAAAGUGUGCCUAGAAAGAC
Molecule: non-coding RNA, 770 nt
Filed under: Atrecus affinis
Lineage: Eukaryota; Metazoa; Arthropoda; Insecta; Coleoptera; Staphylinidae
Source: RNAcentral